This 386-nucleotide long non-coding RNA is filed under the name Chinchilla lanigera (long-tailed chinchilla). Its description in RNAcentral is "lncRNA (ENSCLAG00000023292.1)". The record is from RNAcentral. Lineage: Eukaryota; Metazoa; Chordata; Mammalia; Rodentia; Chinchillidae.
AUUGAAAUUUUUUGAUCUUUUCCUAACACCACAGAAUUAUAAUAAUUUGUUAAAGCCUUUGUAUGAAAGGAAACAAAAGAAUUCUUUAUAGAGACUUGCUUUAACAUUUACCACAUUGCACUGUGAUCCUGUGUUUAUGUGUCUGUCUCCCUCACCAGACUGGGAACUCUCCAGGCAGGGGUUUCAUGUCCCCUGUGUAUGUGACAGAAGACUCGACACAUUAUAGUGCUCAGCAGUUGCUGCAUGGGUGGGAGAGGAAGAAAAGAAAUCAAAUACCAAUGAAAUGUGCUUUACUGCUUAAGAAAAGUGAAGAAUCUUGUGGACACCUAGAAAUCUUCCACAAGCAGUCCAGGUACAGUGAGGGAGAAGCACUUGGAGAAACAGAG